CCUACGGGUGGCAGCAGUGGGGAAUAUUGGGCAAUGGAGGCAACUCUGACCCAGCAACGCCGCGUGAAUGAUGAAGGUCUUCUGAUUGGAAAGCUCUUUUAUGGGGGAUGUACACAAUGACGUUACUCCAAUAUCAAGCCUCCGCUAACUACGUGCCAGCAGACGCGGUAAUACGGAGGUGGCAAGCGUUAUCCGGAUUUACUGGGGGUCAAGGUUGCGUAGGUGGUUUAUUAAGGUGGCGGUGUAAUUCCGGGGCUCAACCUCGGAUCUGCCGCCAAAACUAGUAGACUAGAGUGCAGGAGGGGCAGGCGGAAUUCGUGGUGUAGCGGUGAAAUGCGUAGAUAUCAGGAAGAACACCGGCGGCGAAGGCAGCCUGCUGGACUGAAACUGACGUUGAGGCUCGAAAGCGUGGGGAGCAAACAGGAUUAGAUACCCUAGUAGUC
Molecule: ribosomal RNA, 443 nt
Filed under: uncultured bacterium
Lineage: Bacteria
Description: partial 16S ribosomal RNA
Rfam family: Bacterial small subunit ribosomal RNA
Source: RNAcentral